CAGCUUCAAGAACCUUUUUACAGAUCUUGCACUCGGCAGUAACAUUCUUGACAACCUUAUCGCCCACCUUUUCCUCUGUUAUAAUCUCAGUGAAGUGCGUCCAAACUUUUGAGGUUUUCUUCUUUCCCCCGGCUUUGGCCUUGAGAUUUUUCUUUGUUGCAGCUUUCUCUACUAUGGCAGAAGUAGUACCACUUCUACUUCCAUCCUGAUCGACACCACUGCUACCAUUUGGUCCACUUGCAAUUUCAACUGGAGAUGCUCCUGCAAUCUACACGAACAUAAAUUUAUCAUACAGAGUUACAGACUAAAAUCAGCAGCUGUACAAAAAAAUGAAUACUACCUGUGUAUUUUGGAGGUUCUUUGAAGAAUUAGCAACCAUGACCGAUCUGCUUAAACUGAUUUACGCAGAACUGAAAAAUGGGUUGAAAUAGAACAAAUCACAUAUAGCUUUUGAUCAAUGAACUAGAGUACUGGACUAUCAAGUACUGAUCGACUCAUACUUUACUUCCAUCAGAUCAAUGUCAGAUAGUGUAGAGCAGCGGCUAACUUACCUUGGCCAGAGCAAACGAGCGGAG
Molecule: long non-coding RNA, 575 nt
Filed under: Triticum aestivum (bread wheat)
Lineage: Eukaryota; Viridiplantae; Streptophyta; Magnoliopsida; Poales; Poaceae
Description: long non-coding RNA (TAES_LNC002154)
Source: RNAcentral